This 1378-nucleotide ribosomal RNA is filed under the name uncultured bacterium. RNAcentral's name for it is "16S ribosomal RNA". It matches the Rfam family "Bacterial small subunit ribosomal RNA". The record is from RNAcentral.
UUCGCCCUUAGAGUUUGAUCCUGGCUCAGGACGAACGCUGGUCGGCGCGCCUAACACAUGCAAGUCGAACGAGCGAGAGAGAGCUUGCUUUCUCAAGCGAGUGGCGAACGGGUGAGUAACGCGUGAGGAACCUGCCUCAAAGAGGGGGACAACAGUUGGAAACGACUGCUAAUACCGCAUAAGCCCACAGCUUGGCAUCGAGCAGAGGGAAAAGGAGCAAUCCGCUUUGAGAUGGCCUCGCGUCCGAUUAGCUAGUUGGUGAGGUAACGGCCCACCAAGGCAACGAUCGGUAGCCGGACUGAGAGGUUGAACGGCCACAUUGGGACUGAGACACGGCCCAGACUCCUACGGGAGGCAGCAGUGGGGAAUAUUGCACAAUGGGGGAAACCCUGAUGCAGCGACGCCGCGUGGAGGAAGAAGGUCUUCGGAUUGUAAACUCCUGUUGUUGAGGAAGAUAAUGACGGUACUCAACAAGGAAGUGACGGCUAACUACGUGCCACCAGCCGCGGUAAAACGUAGGUCACAAGCGUUGUCCGGAAUUACUGGGUGUAAAGGGAGCGCAGGCGGGAAGACAAGUUGGAAGUGAAAUCUAUGGGCUCACACCAUAAACUGAUUUCAAAACUGUUUUUCUUGACUAAUGCAGACGUACGCGGCAUUCCCGGUGUAUCGGUGGAAUGCGUAGAUAUCGGGAGGAACACCAGGGCGAAGGCGGCAUACUGGCAACCAACUGACCCUGAGGCUCGAAAGUGUGGUAGCAAACAGGAUAAGAUACGCUGGUAGUCCACACCGUAAACGAUGAUUACUAGGUGUUGGAGGAUUGACCCCUUCAGUGCCGCAGUUAACACAAUAAGUAAUCCACCUGGGGAGUACGACCGCAAGGUUGAAACUCAAAGGAAUUGACGGGGGCCCGCACAAGCAGUGGAGUAUGUGGUUUAAUUCGACGCAACGCGAAGAACCUUACCAAGCCUUGACAUCCCUUGACGAACAUAGAAAUAUGUUUUCUCUUCGGAGCAAGGAGACAGGUGGUGCAUGGUUGUCGUCAGCUCGUGUCGUGAGAUGUUGGGUUAAGUCCCGCAACGAGCGCAACCCCUACUGUCAGUUACUACGCAAGAGGACUCUGGCAGGACUGCCGUUGACAAAACGGAGGAAGGUGGGGAUGACGUCAAAUCAUCAUGCCCUUUAUGACUUGGGCUACACACGUACUACAAUGGCGUUAAACAAAGAGAAGCAAGACCGCGAGGUGGAGCAAAACUCAGAAACAACGUCCCAGUUCGGACUGCAGGCUGCAACUCGCCUGCACGAAGUCGGAAUUGCUAGUAAUCGUGGAUCAGCAUGCCACGGUGAAUACGUUCCCGGGCCCUUGUACACACCGCCCGUC